This 30-nucleotide non-coding RNA is filed under the name Rattus norvegicus (Norway rat). The record is from RNAcentral. Lineage: Eukaryota; Metazoa; Chordata; Mammalia; Rodentia; Muridae.
UCCAUUGGGAGAAAAGGUAGUGUUUCACUU